CGUGGGCGAGGAGGAGAUGGAGGAGUCGGGAUUGUGGCUUAUCACCCAUUUGGCUCACGUCCCGUCUUGGAUGACUGACUGAGAAUGAGGAAAUCUCUGUAGGGGAGUGACACAUCUCUCCAGACCUGGGAAAGGCUGCAGGAGAGGCUCCACCCAACCAGUAUCCUGACAGAAAUGCCCUUUUGCUGAAACCAAGCAAAUGAAGAGUCUAACAAACGGGCUGAACGAUGUUUGUCUCUGGUUCUGCUCCUCUGGAAUUGCCACAGAUUUCAUAAUCUCCUGUUGCUUGUAGUCAUCUACACAGUCACUCGGGCACAACCGCUGAAUGAGAAAACCGCGACUUCUGGGACUGCUCUGGGAACAUAUUUGCAGUCAUUCCUCCUGAGAACUGGGUGACCCAGUCUCUGCUUGCAUGUUGUUGUUUUUUAAACCGAAACUAUGGAUUGCCGAAACAUCCUGUCAAGGGCCGCUUGCCUGCAAGAGCUGCAUCAGAUCCUCUGAAGAUGCGACCCACAGAUGCAGGCGAAACGUCAGGAGAGAAUGCUGCUAGAACACGGCCAUACAGCCCGGAAACCACACAGCACCCUAAAACAAAAAAUGCUAGCCAGGAAACGUUUGUCACAGUGGUAUUGAAGAUAAAAUUUCUGCCGUCUAAAGAGUGACCAGAAAAAAGUAUCAAAUUGCAUCCAGUGAAGACUCUAGGAAAGAAAGAAUAGACUAUGAAAAAUCCUGCCGCUGAUACAAGUCCGUUAAUAUUUGGGGAUCCUACAGUAUAUCAUUGUCUAUAUAUCAGAAAUAAGCCAGGUUGGAAGAGAAACACUAAAAGUCUCGAAAAAAGGAGGGGUCGGGGUUUACCACCCCCAAAUACUUUCUCAAUUUUUGAUAGAAAGAAUUACGCCACUCUGCUGUUCAGACAUCCCUAGAGUCAUUCGCAUGAAGACAAUACCCAUUCAGGGCUAUGCUGCCGCAUGAAAAUGAGAGUAUUUGGCAGAAACAAAGGUUUCAGACCACAACAUUUCCCUCACCGC
Molecule: long non-coding RNA, 1028 nt
Organism: Sphaerodactylus townsendi
Lineage: Eukaryota; Metazoa; Chordata; Lepidosauria; Squamata; Sphaerodactylidae
Exons: 3
Source: RefSeq, a predicted model, not a curated record